UACGUAGGGUGCAAGCGUUGUCCGGAAUUAUUGGGCGUAAAGGGCUCGUAGGCGGUCUGUCGCGUCGGGAGUGAAAACUCAGGGCUUAACCCUGAGCCUGCUUCCGAUACGGGCAGACUAGAGGUAUGCAGGGGAGAACGGAAUUCCUGGUGUAGCGGUGAAAUGCGCAGAUAUCAGGAGGAACACCGGUGGCGAAGGCGGUUCUCUGGGCAUUACCUGACGCUGAGACGCGAAAGCGUGGGGAGCAAACAGG
RNAcentral lists this ribosomal RNA (253 nucleotides) under uncultured bacterium. RNAcentral describes it as "partial 16S ribosomal RNA". It matches the Rfam family "Bacterial small subunit ribosomal RNA", at positions 524 to 776 of the family's 1533-position model. The record is from RNAcentral.